Molecule: transfer RNA, 75 nt
Filed under: Candidatus Pelagibacter sp. TMED64
Lineage: Bacteria; Pseudomonadati; Pseudomonadota; Alphaproteobacteria; Candidatus Pelagibacterales; Candidatus Pelagibacteraceae
Also listed under: 1 other name
Description: tRNA-Val
Rfam family: tRNA
About the family: Transfer RNA (tRNA) molecules are approximately 80 nucleotides in length.
Source: RNAcentral
GGGCCUUUAGCUCAAUAGUAGAGUGUUCGCUUGACAUGCGAAAGGUAGUAGGAGCGUAACCUACAAGGCCCACCA